This 469-nucleotide ribosomal RNA is filed under the name uncultured bacterium. RNAcentral describes it as "partial 16S ribosomal RNA". It matches the Rfam family "Bacterial small subunit ribosomal RNA", at positions 28 to 507 of the family's 1533-position model. The record is from RNAcentral.
GACGAACGCUGGCGGCGUGCUUAACACAUGCAAGUCGAACGGAAAGGCCCUGCUUGCAGGGUGCUCGAGUGGCGAACGGGUGAGUAACACGUGGGUGAUCUGCCCCUUACUUUGGGAUAAGCCUGGGAAACUGGGUCUAAUACUGGAUAGGACCAUGCUGUAGGUGGUGUGGUGGAAAGAUUAGUUUCGGUAAGGGAUGAGCUCGCGGCCUAUCAGCUUGUUGGUGGGGUAAUGGCCUACCAAGGCGUCGACGGGUAGCCGGCCUGAGAGGGUGGACGGCCACAUUGGGACUGAGAAACGGCCCAGACUCCUACGGGAGGCAGCAGUGGGGAAUAGUGCACAAUGGGCGCAAGCCUGAUGCAGCGACGCCGCGUGGGGGAUGACGGCCUUCGGGUUGUAAACUCCUUGCAGCCAUGACGAAGCCCUUGUGGUGACGGUAGUGGUAGAAGAAGCACCGGCUAACUACGUG